UUGACCUCGGAUCAGGUAGGGAUACCCGCUGAACUUAAGCAUAUCAAUAA
This 50-nucleotide ribosomal RNA is filed under the name Aspergillus aculeatus. Its description in RNAcentral is "partial 28S ribosomal RNA". Lineage: Eukaryota; Fungi; Ascomycota; Eurotiomycetes; Eurotiales; Aspergillaceae. The record is from RNAcentral. RNAcentral also lists the same sequence under 266 other names.